GUCCUUAGUUACCAGCACGUUAUGGUGGGCGACUCUAAGGAGGACGUGCCGGUGGACAAACCGGAGGAAGGUGGGGAUGACGUCAAGUCAUCAUGGCCCUUACGGCCUGGGCUACACACGUGCUACAAUGGUCGGUACAAAGGGUUGCCAAGCCGCGAGGUGGAGCUAAUCCCAUAAAACCGAUCGUAGUCCGGAUCGCAGUCUGCAACUCGACUGCGUGAAGCCGGAAUCGCUAGUAAUCGUGAAUCAGAAUGUCACGGUGAAUACGUUCCCGGGCCUU
Molecule: ribosomal RNA, 280 nt
Filed under: uncultured Pseudomonas sp.
Lineage: Bacteria; Pseudomonadati; Pseudomonadota; Gammaproteobacteria; Pseudomonadales; Pseudomonadaceae
Description: partial 16S ribosomal RNA
Rfam family: Bacterial small subunit ribosomal RNA
Source: RNAcentral